AUUUGAAUAGUUUAAUAAAAUAUUGAUUUGUGAUAUCAGAGAUGCAAUUAUUGCUUUAAAUU
Molecule: transfer RNA, 62 nt
Filed under: Aplosonyx pictus
Lineage: Eukaryota; Metazoa; Arthropoda; Insecta; Coleoptera; Chrysomelidae
Description: tRNA-His
Source: RNAcentral